UACCAAUAAUUGUAUUUUUAUUUUCGAAAUUCGAACUGCACCUAUCGUGCAAGCAAGCGCAGUUAUCGAUAAAUCAUUGUGAGCUCGACAUUGUGUAAAAGACGACGGAUAUUUCGGUGCGCGGUUCUAGUGCUUAUUAAAUCAGUUCAUUAUGGAGGACAACGUUUCUAUGCAGAAGCUGAUCAAAUUUGUUAAGGAAACCAAUUUGGACGAAGGAUGUCUAACAAAAUUAACAGAAUUAAAUAAAAUCGAUGUAUUUACUGGCCCGCCUAUCCACGUACACCUGGUCGACGGCAGCAAAUUUAUUAGAUUUAAAAUAUUAUAAAAUAAACAUAUUUUAUUUAAAAAAAAAAGCAAAAUAAA
Long non-coding RNA from Drosophila subpulchrella, 363 nucleotides. RefSeq lists it as uncharacterized. The record is from RefSeq and is a predicted model, not a curated record. Lineage: Eukaryota; Metazoa; Arthropoda; Insecta; Diptera; Drosophilidae. The transcript has 3 exons.